RNAcentral lists this ribosomal RNA (494 nucleotides) under uncultured bacterium. RNAcentral's name for it is "partial 16S ribosomal RNA". It matches the Rfam family "Bacterial small subunit ribosomal RNA", at positions 30 to 506 of the family's 1533-position model. The record is from RNAcentral.
UGAACGCUGGCGGCGUGCCUAAUACAUGCAAGUCGAGCGAACAGACGAGGAGCUUGCUCCUCUGACGUUAGCGGCGGACGGGUGAGUAACACGUGGAUAACCUACCUAUAAGACUGGGAUAACUUCGGGAAACCGGAGCUAAUACCGGAUAAUAUAUUGAACCGCAUGGUUCAAUAGUGAAAGACGGUUUUGCUGUCACUUAUAGAUGGAUCCGCGCCGCAUUAGCUAGUUGGUAAGGUAACGGCUUACCAAGGCGACGAUGCGUAGCCGACCUGAGAGGGUGAUCGGCCACACUGGAACUGAGACACGGUCCAGACUCCUACGGGAGGCAGCAGUAGGGAAUCUUCCGCAAUGGGCGAAAGCUUGACGGAGCAACGCCGCGUGAGUGAUGAAGGUCUUCGGAUCGUAAAACUCUGUUAUUAGGGAAGAACAAAUGUGUAAGUAACUAUGCACGUCUUGACGGUACCUAAUCAGAAAGCCACGGCUAACUACGU